Molecule: ribosomal RNA, 738 nt
Filed under: Triticum aestivum (bread wheat)
Lineage: Eukaryota; Viridiplantae; Streptophyta; Magnoliopsida; Poales; Poaceae
Description: partial small subunit ribosomal RNA
Source: RNAcentral
AUGAAUGCUUGCGAAAAGAAGUGGGAAGAGAUAAUAUACUGGGUGCUAAUUCCGUUGGUGGGAGUCAUGUACCCCAAGGACAUUGCCAAUAGCCAUCCAUGGUUCGAAGGUGGACUAAUCAAUAUAACCAACAUUUGCAAUGGUAAAAAGCUUGCUGGAAUCUAUGAGGACCAAACUGAGCUUCUUGCUCUACCCGGGGAACCCCAAAUAACACAAAUGGUUGCCGAGGCCCUAUCGCGGGUGACCACCAUGUUUUACAGUGAGAAGACGACCGAGAUACUUACAGGAAAGGAAAUAAGGAUGGCAUGGUCCACGUGUGGGCCUGACACCACAGAACCUGACUGCAUGGUCAAUGCCAAGUCCAGAUGCUGUAAGGAUGCAAGUUUUGGAAAGACAAAUGCUACUGAUAGCGUAUUAGGUAGACGGGAUUUCAUGGAAGAUGGUUCUAUAGCUUCAAACAGAUCAGUGGUUACUGAAUCAGUCUCAAAAUCUUGUUCCUCCGCAGAAGCGAAAGAUGAAGAUGCUGCAAUCGCAGCUGAACUCAAAUGGGAAGAGCAGUCAUCUAAGAGAGGACAAGCUGCUGGAAGGUUUACAUCAGGACACCAUAAUGGCCAUUUCAUUCAGCAUUGCCCGCAGGAAAAGCAGACACCUCCACCUGGCUAUACCUGCAACGUGCAUAUGCCAGAUUCCAGGGCAUUUUAUUCAGCAUUGCCCAACUAUUGGGGAUCCCAAAUUUGA